AACAUACUUUGUGAAGGUAGCCGGAAUACCACAUAACAGCAACAAGACAGAAAAAUACAAACUUCCAGGACAAUCCUGAAGAAUUUGGGGUAUUAUGCUAUUGCUGAACUGGUAUGAAAAUUUCUAAGCUAUGCCUGUGUUGGAGAGAAAUAUCACAAGAAUGCUAUCAGGAGCCACAGGAGCCAAAGCUAGUGUCAGGCUUCAAGGCAGAAAUUGAACAAUGAUUGAUGUAACUUCUACUGAGAUUGGCUCAUCCUCUGGACACAUCAUGGGCUCAGCCAUGUUUGUUCUCGAUAUGUCCUGUUGGCUCAAGCAGGGAGAUGAUCACGUCUGUUCAUGUAUUGUUCAUCCAGAAUAAAGCAUCUUUCAACUCUCAUCAGAGAAGCUUCUUUUUGCAGAAGAUGGAGACUAAUAGAGGAACUCACAACCAGUCAACAUGCAGAGAUCAAGAGAUUGUAGUGUGCUAAGCUCUGAAUGGGACACCUGUAUCACAAUUCCUUUCCUCCAAGACUCAGGGAUCAUAAUGAAAAGUGGGGGGAUUGUAAGAGCCAAAGGGAGUAGAUGUAUGCAGAGAAACAGUAUUUGACAGACAUGACAGUAUAGUUGCAGGCGUGGAUUCACAGUGUUUGGGACUGCAUGCACAAGACUUGCACAAGAUCAAGUCAUCCAAAAUCCAAGCAUGAAUCAGGGAGGGGCUUAUGAAGUUCCACCCUUAUCUGAGGGACUAUUGGCA
Nannospalax galili (Upper Galilee mountains blind mole rat) is the source of this 733-nucleotide long non-coding RNA. RefSeq lists it as uncharacterized. The record is from RefSeq and is a predicted model, not a curated record. The transcript is spliced from 4 exons. NCBI's taxonomy places the organism in Eukaryota, Metazoa, Chordata, Mammalia, Rodentia, Spalacidae.